RNAcentral lists this ribosomal RNA (2901 nucleotides) under Escherichia coli P0304777.1. RNAcentral's name for it is "bacterial LSU rRNA". It matches the Rfam family "Bacterial large subunit ribosomal RNA". Lineage: Bacteria; Pseudomonadati; Pseudomonadota; Gammaproteobacteria; Enterobacterales; Enterobacteriaceae. The record is from RNAcentral.
UUAAGCGACUAAGCGUACACGGUGGAUGCCCUGGCAGUCAGAGGCGAUGAAGGACGUGCUAAUCUGCGAUAAGCGUCGGUAAGGUGAUAUGAACCGUUAUAACCGGCGAUUUCCGAAUGGGGAAACCCAGUGUGAUUCGACACACUAUCAUUAACUGAAUCCAUAGGUUAAUGAGGCGAACCGGGGGAACCGAGACAUCUAAGUACCCCGAGGAAAAGAAAUCAACCGAGAUUCCCCCAGUAGCGGCGAGCGAACGGGGAGGAGCCCAGAGCCUGAAUCAGUGUGUGUGUUAGUGGAAGCGUCUGGAAAGGCGCGCGAUACAGGGUGACAGCCCCGUACACAAAAAUGCACAUGCUGUGAGCUCGAUGAGUAGGGCGGGACACGUGGUAUCCUGUCUGAAUAUGGGGGGACCAUCCUCCAAGGCUAAAUACUCCUGACUGACCGAUAGUGAACCAGUACCGUGAGGGAAAGGCGAAAAGAACCCCGGCGAGGGGAGUGAAAAAGAACCUGAAACCGUGUACGUACAAGCAGUGGGAGCACGCUUAGGCGUGUGACUGCGUACCUUUUGUAUAAUGGGUCAGCGACUUAUAUUCUGUAGCAAGGUUAACCGAAUAGGGGAGCCGAAGGGAAACCGAGUCUUAACUGGGCGUUAAGUUGCAGGGUAUAGACCCGAAACCCGGUGAUCUAGCCAUGGGCAGGUUGAAGGUUGGGUAACACUAACUGGAGGACCGAACCGACUAAUGUUGAAAAAUUAGCGGAUGACUUGUGGCUGGGGGUGAAAGGCCAAUCAAACCGGGAGAUAGCUGGUUCUCCCCGAAAGCUAUUUAGGUAGCGCCUCGUGAAUUCAUCUCCGGGGGUAGAGCACUGUUUCGGCAAGGGGGUCAUCCCGACUUACCAACCCGAUGCAAACUGCGAAUACCGGAGAAUGUUAUCACGGGAGACACACGGCGGGUGCUAACGUCCGUCGUGAAGAGGGAAACAACCCAGACCGCCAGCUAAGGUCCCAAAGUCAUGGUUAAGUGGGAAACGAUGUGGGAAGGCCCAGACAGCCAGGAUGUUGGCUUAGAAGCAGCCAUCAUUUAAAGAAAGCGUAAUAGCUCACUGGUCGAGUCGGCCUGCGCGGAAGAUGUAACGGGGCUAAACCAUGCACCGAAGCUGCGGCAGCGACGCUUAUGCGUUGUUGGGUAGGGGAGCGUUCUGUAAGCCUGUGAAGGUGUGCUGUGAGGCAUGCUGGAGGUAUCAGAAGUGCGAAUGCUGACAUAAGUAACGAUAAAGCGGGUGAAAAGCCCGCUCGCCGAAAGACCAAGGGUUCCUGUCCAACGUUAAUCGGGGCAGGGUGAGUCGACCCCUAAGGCGAGGCCGAAAGGCGUAGUCGAUGGGAAACAGGUUAAUAUUCCUGUACUUGGUGUUACUGCGAAGGGGGACGGAGAAGGCUAUGUUGGCCGGGCGACGGUUGUCCCGGUUUAAGCGUGUAGGCUGGUUUUCCAGGCAAAUCCGGAAAAUCAAGGCUGAGGCGUGAUGACGAGGCACUACGGUGCUGAAGCAACAAAUGCCCUGCUUCCAGGAAAAGCCUCUAAGCAUCAGGUAACAUCAAAUCGUACCCCAAACCGACACAGGUGGUCAGGUAGAGAAUACCAAGGCGCUUGAGAGAACUCGGGUGAAGGAACUAGGCAAAAUGGUGCCGUAACUUCGGGAGAAGGCACGCUGAUAUGUAGGUGAAGUCCCUCGCGGAUGGAGCUGAAAUCAGUCGAAGAUACCAGCUGGCUGCAACUGUUUAUUAAAAACACAGCACUGUGCAAACACGAAAGUGGACGUAUACGGUGUGACGCCUGCCCGGUGCCGGAAGGUUAAUUGAUGGGGUCAGCGCAAGCGAAGCUCUUGAUCGAAGCCCCGGUAAACGGCGGCCGUAACUAUAACGGUCCUAAGGUAGCGAAAUUCCUUGUCGGGUAAGUUCCGACCUGCACGAAUGGCGUAAUGAUGGCCAGGCUGUCUCCACCCGAGACUCAGUGAAAUUGAACUCGCUGUGAAGAUGCAGUGUACCCGCGGCAAGACGGAAAGACCCCGUGAACCUUUACUAUAGCUUGACACUGAACAUUGAGCCUUGAUGUGUAGGAUAGGUGGGAGGCUUUGAAGUGUGGACGCCAGUCUGCAUGGAGCCGACCUUGAAAUACCACCCUUUAAUGUUUGAUGUUCUAACGUUGACCCGUGAUCCGGGUUGCGGACAGUGUCUGGUGGGUAGUUUGACUGGGGCGGUCUCCUCCUAAAGAGUAACGGAGGAGCACGAAGGUUGGCUAAUCCUGGUCGGACAUCAGGAGGUUAGUGCAAUGGCAUAAGCCAGCUUGACUGCGAGCGUGACGGCGCGAGCAGGUGCGAAAGCAGGUCAUAGUGAUCCGGUGGUUCUGAAUGGAAGGGCCAUCGCUCAACGGAUAAAAGGUACUCCGGGGAUAACAGGCUGAUACCGCCCAAGAGUUCAUAUCGACGGCGGUGUUUGGCACCUCGAUGUCGGCUCAUCACAUCCUGGGGCUGAAGUAGGUCCCAAGGGUAUGGCUGUUCGCCAUUUAAAGUGGUACGCGAGCUGGGUUUAGAACGUCGUGAGACAGUUCGGUCCCUAUCUGCCGUGGGCGCUGGAGAACUGAGGGGGGCUGCUCCUAGUACGAGAGGACCGGAGUGGACGCAUCACUGGUGUUCGGGUUGUCAUGCCAAUGGCACUGCCCGGUAGCUAAAUGCGGAAGAGAUAAGUGCUGAAAGCAUCUAAGCACGAAACUUGCCCCGAGAUGAGUUCUCCCUGACUCCUUGAGGGUCCUGAAGGAACGUUGAAGACGACGACGUUGAUAGGCCGGGUGUGUAAGCGCAGCGAUGCGUUGAGCUAACCGGUACUAAUGAACCGUGAGGCUUAACCUU